CCUACGUGAGGCUGCAGUGAGGAAUAUUGGUCAAUGGACGGAAGUCUGAACCAGCCAUGCCGCGUGCAGGAAGACGGCUCUAUGAGUUGUAAACUGCUUUUGUACAAGGGUAAAACUGAAUACGUGUAUUCAGCUGAAAGUAUCGUACGAAUAAGGAUCGGCUAACUCCGUGCCAGCAGCCGCGGUAAUACGGAGGAUUCAAGCGUUAUCCGGAUUUAUUGGGUUUAAAGGGUGCGUAGGCGGUCGGAUAAGUUAGAGGUGAAAUCCCGAGGCUCAACUUCGGAAUUGCCUCUGAUACUGUUCGGCUAGAGAGUAGUUGCGGUAGGCGGAAUGUAUGGUGUAGCGGUGAAAUGCAUAGAUAUCGCGCAGAACCCCGAUUGCGAAGGCAGCGUGCCGUGCCGCCACUGACGCUGAGGCACGAAAGCGCGGGGAUCGAACAGGAUUAGAUACCCGGGUAGUC
RNAcentral lists this ribosomal RNA (460 nucleotides) under uncultured bacterium. RNAcentral's name for it is "partial 16S ribosomal RNA". It matches the Rfam family "Bacterial small subunit ribosomal RNA", at positions 338 to 795 of the family's 1533-position model. The record is from RNAcentral.